UACGUACUGUGCGAACGUUAUUCGGAAUCACUGGGCUUACAGGGUGCGUAGGCGGCUAACCAGGUCCGAUGUGAAAUCCCCCGGCUCAACCGGGGAACUGCAUUGGAAACCGGCUAGCUUGAGUAGGUUAGAGGUGCACGGAACUUCCGGUGGAGCGGUGAUAUGUGUUGAUAUCGGAAGGAACACCAGAGGCGAAAGCGGUGCACUGGGGCCUGACUGACGCUGAGGCACGAAAGCCAGGGGAGCGAACGGG
Molecule: unclassified non-coding RNA, 253 nt
Filed under: uncultured Planctomycetales bacterium
Lineage: Bacteria; Pseudomonadati; Planctomycetota; Planctomycetia; Planctomycetales
Description: contains 16S-23S intergenic spacer region
Rfam family: Bacterial small subunit ribosomal RNA
Source: RNAcentral